GCGGCGGCGAGGUUGGGAUACUUAAGUUUCCACCGUUUAGGUCGGCAGGGCUUUCUUGCCUUUACGCGCGCGGGGUUGUGCUGCAAAAGAGAGGGCAGUUCUAGCCAGAGUGCAAAAGCAAAGAUUGCAUUUACAACAACUUUUACAUCGUAUCCUGAUAACUCAGUAAUUCAUGAAGGUUGGUUCAUAUGCUGCCAAGGGGAAGUGAAAGAAGCAGCACAGGUGAUUUGUUCUUCUUUCCCCAUUUCUACCUUUACAGCACAAGGCUACACAUGUCUCCUGAAUUGAGGGGAACUUACUCCCAAGUAAUUCGGCAUAAUUCCAAUGUGUAAAGAACUUGCAGGUCUCAAUAGUAACAACCACCUUGGGCUUCAGAAGCCUUCUGAGGCAAACAGAUCUUGCUCACAAAUCCCACUUCAUACUUUUUGGAAGUAGUAAAGUUUAAAGCAGCAGCUACCCAUGCUAUUUCUUUCUCUGCCUUCUGGUAAUCCAUGAAAUUAUCUGAAAAAUGAAAACUCCCUGUUAUUUCAUUGCUGAUUUAGCAGUUAAAUUACCUUGCAAGUCUGUCACUUUUAUUUUCAUAUCAUAAGAACCCGUGAGAAGGUAAUGAGCCCCAGGGGAAAAGCGGACAGAACGGACAUCACUGGAAUGAGGAUGGUAACUCUGCACCAUUCGCCCUCCACGAAUAUCAUACAGCAUACAGCUGGAAUCCUCCUGGCCUGUAGCUAGAAGACGACCACUAGGAUCUACAGCUACUGAUGCCACAGCACUGCCUGCAAGGAGAAAUCCCAUAAAUGAAAUCAGUACCAUUUCUCUAGAACUCUAUUUUCCAAGCAGCAACUCUACUGGCCAACCAUGGUAAGGAUUUUUUCUUGGCUUCAUCAUCAAUAACCUUACCAGUUCCAUGAAAUGUUGUUCCAACAACGCGGACACAACUAGGUACUCUGAGAUCCC
Zootoca vivipara (common lizard) is the source of this 954-nucleotide long non-coding RNA. RefSeq lists it as uncharacterized. NCBI's taxonomy places the organism in Eukaryota, Metazoa, Chordata, Lepidosauria, Squamata, Lacertidae. The record is from RefSeq and is a predicted model, not a curated record.